AACGAACGCUGGCGGCAGGCCUAACACAUGCAAGUCGAGCGAGCGGCGGACGGGUGAGUAAUGUAUGGGGACCGCCCGAUAGAGGGGGAUAACUACUGGAAAAGGUAGCUAAUAACGCAUACUAUCGGAUAACCGAUAUGGGAUUAGCUAGUAGGUGAGGUAAUGGCUCACCUAGGCAACGAUCCCUCGCUGGUCUGAGAGGAUGAUCAGCCACACUGGGACUGUGACACGGCCCAUACUCCUAGGGAGGCAGCAUUGGGGAAUAUUGCACAAUGGGCGCAAGCCUGAUGCAGCCAGGCCGGGUGGAGGAAGAGGGCCCUAGGGUUGUAAAGUACUUUCAUUCGGGAGGCGUUACCGACCGAGGAAGCACCGGCUAACUCCGUGCCAGCCGCCGCGGUAAUAC
Molecule: ribosomal RNA, 403 nt
Filed under: uncultured bacterium
Lineage: Bacteria
Description: partial 16S ribosomal RNA
Rfam family: Bacterial small subunit ribosomal RNA
Source: RNAcentral